Haliotis rubra (blacklip abalone) is the source of this 369-nucleotide long non-coding RNA. RefSeq lists it as uncharacterized. Lineage: Eukaryota; Metazoa; Mollusca; Gastropoda; Lepetellida; Haliotidae. The transcript is spliced from 4 exons. The record is from RefSeq and is a predicted model, not a curated record.
CUUCAAGGAAACCUUUGAUCACAUUUAUAACACAGUUGAAUUGGAAAUCAACAAAACUUGAAGUGUAGUUGUCAGUUUCCAGUACGUAAUCACAGCAAAAAAAGCUUCGUUCAGAAUAUUGCGCUUGGUGUCCCUUUCAACUCGAAGGCGUAUAAGCUAUAGAAAAAAGUCAACAGACGAAGCGGACUCUCUGUAGCUGCUGAGGACAUACUGACGAGUUGCGCAUGGGUUUGGGAUGAGAUUGCCAAACCAUCUGCAAUUGUGGAUACUGCUUCUGUUACUUGCAUUAUCAGACUGCAAAAUACACUGUGGUAAUAACAAGUGGGGAACUGAUUGCAGCAAAUCCUGUCCGGAGAAUUGCAAAGACCU